RNAcentral lists this ribosomal RNA (739 nucleotides) under uncultured marine eukaryote. Its description in RNAcentral is "bacterial SSU rRNA". It matches the Rfam family "Eukaryotic small subunit ribosomal RNA", at positions 1 to 744 of the family's 1831-position model. The record is from RNAcentral.
UAUCUGGUUGAUCCUGCCAGUAGUCAUAUGCUUGUCUCAAAGAUUAAGCCAUGCAUGUCUCAGUAUAAGCUUUUCUACUGCAAAACUGCGAAUGGCUCAUUAAAACAGUUAUAGUUUCCUUGACGGCCACUUAUUACUUGGAUACCUAUGGUAAUUCUAGAGCUAAUACAUGCUUUUCGACCCGACUCUUUACGGGAGGGUUGUGCUUAUUAGAUACCGAACCGACCCAGGCUUGCCUGGAUUUGAGUUGAUUCAUAGUAUUCCAGCGAAUCGCCCUCUGCAGGCGAUGAGUCUUUCAAGUUUCUGACCUAUCAGCUUGACGGUAGGGUAUUGGCCUACCGUGGCGUUGACGGGUAACGGAGAAUUAGGGUUCGAUUCCGGAGAGGGAGCCUGAGAAACGGCUACCACAUCUAAGGAAGGCAGCAGGCGCCGUAAAUUACCCAAUCCUGAUACAGGGAGGUAAGUGACAAGAAAUACCAAUAUAAGGCUUACAUGUCUUGUAAUUGGGAUGAGUAUAAUUUAAACCGCAUUACGAAGUAUCAAUUGGAGGGCAAGUCUGGUGCCACAGCCCGCGGUAAUUCAGCUUCAAUAGCGUAUAUUAAAAUUGGUGCGGUUAAAACGCUCGUAGUUGGAUAUUUGGUGAGGACUGCGGUCCACCCUAGUGGUGGGACUCGGAUGGCCUCGGCAUCUUCUGGGGGAAAGUGGUGGCACUUCAUUGGUGGGACGUGAUCCAAAAUUU